GCCUCUGUAGUUUAGUGGUAAAAUAUCCGCCUUCCAAGCGGAUGCCCCGAGUUCGAUUCUCGGCAGAUGCA
Molecule: non-coding RNA, 71 nt
Organism: Nitzschia inconspicua
Lineage: Eukaryota; Bacillariophyta; Bacillariophyceae; Bacillariales; Bacillariaceae
Source: the annotation of a GenBank genome assembly